Long non-coding RNA from Gallus gallus (chicken), 1675 nucleotides. The record is from Ensembl. NCBI's taxonomy places the organism in Eukaryota, Metazoa, Chordata, Aves, Galliformes, Phasianidae.
GGGUUCCUGCCAAGUCAGAGCAGGAAAGGUGCUGCAAAUAGCGCAGCACUGUGCCUCCCAGCGAGCAGCGUCCCGGUGCGGAGGCAUUUCUGUUUAUGUAACCUGAAGCAGGCUCUGCUGCUCGGGCUGCGUUUCCAGACUGUUGCUGGGAGCCAGCAAACCAUGCCUCAGGCUGACAACCUUGUUUUCCAAGUAACUUCUGAACUUGUCAUCCGUGGAAUCCGUGGAGGGAGGUCUGCUGCCCCUGCUUGGAUUCUGCCGGAUGACAUAAGAGAGCCACAGCGACCGUAGAGCAGAUGUCUGCAGAGGACACGCCAGGCUGGAGAUGUUGCUUCUACAGUGCAUCACCGCAAUGAAACACCAUGAGCUGAUGUCCACCCGUGCCAAGGGGAGAUUACAAGGGCAUAUCGGGCUACGAACAAACACAGUUUUGGACACAGUGUAAGGAUAUGAAAACAAUGGCAUACAAUUUAUUUACAGAGCUUUCUUACAACUGCACUACUAAGACAUUUUAGAGCUAACUGGGUCCCUAUGCUCCCUAUCUACUCUAUCUCUUGCUGGACGAGUCUCUCUCUGGGCACAUCACACCAGACGGGCGCUGUCAGCUGGCGCUCUCCUCUUCAGUCCAGUUCUUCCUCGGCUGUUUUGGACAUCAACUCUGUCAAAGCUCGGCUUACAGGAGAAGAGUAACUGAAAUGCAAAGGAGAAAAGGCAGUCGCCCUCGUGUCAAAACAAAAAAUCAGAAGGAUAAGAGAAGAAAGACUUUGAAUUGCAAAAACAAAGAAACCUGUAUAGAAAAACAUCUGUGAUUUGGUUUCAACCUCCAAUUCAGGGCAAAGCAUUCAGAGACUGUCAGAGCCCCGCCGGUGUUUCCACCCGAGAUGUGCCCUCAGUGAUGAAGAUGCAGAACGUCUCUGGCCAUCCUCACCUCCUCCGCUGCCCCAGGCUCACCUCAUGGGAACGCCCCUCCCAGCCAGGAGGAGGUGCUGGGAGCUGGGCCAUGCGCACACACACAGCCAUACCUAGCUCUGAGCAGAAGGUGCGUCCUCUUCCCUGUGAUGCUCUGCUGGCAGGACGGGUGUUCCCAGAGCUGCUGUUCUUCUGCCGGCGCUGAAGCAGCAUCAGGCGUUGGUCCUCAUCACAUGCUGGAGGGGAGAGUGGUGUCCCAGGUCUCCGUGGCUCAUCUGCAGCAGAGACCAAAGAAAUUCCUGUUAUCAACUUUCAGUAUCGCUAUCAACUCUGUCUAUCAGCUAUCUCACAAUGUCUCUGUCCCCUAUUUCCCAAUCAAAUAUCCCAGUAUGAUAUAACUAUCUAUCUCACUAGCAACUCUUUUGCUUUCCACUAAGUAUCUUCGAUCUACACACCAUCUAUCAAUUACCUGUCUUGCUAUGCACUGUCUUUCCACUAUCUCACUACCAACUAUUUUUCUUGCUAUCAACUGUCUUGCUAUACACUAGGUUUCUUACUAUCCACCAACUCUCUCCCUGUCAAUUCUUUUGCUGUCCACUAUCAACCCAAGAACUGUCUCACUAUCCAACGCUUUCAGCCCCCCACAGCCCCAGGGCUGCCCUCCCCCUGCCCCUCGCACAGCCCGCACUGGGCUGCCAGCCCAUCACCUGCAGCUGCCCUGGUGGGGCCGCAGCUGCAAGCGGGGCAGUGCGGGGCUGCUGGGGCU